This 149-nucleotide small nuclear RNA is filed under the name Pteropus alecto (black flying fox). Its description in RNAcentral is "7SK RNA". It matches the Rfam family "7SK RNA", at positions 189 to 331 of the family's 331-position model. From Rfam's summary of the family: 7SK was discovered as an abundant small nuclear RNA in the mid-70s but a possible function has only recently been suggested. The record is from Rfam by way of RNAcentral. Lineage: Eukaryota; Metazoa; Chordata; Mammalia; Chiroptera; Pteropodidae.
GUUAAAUUUGUGGUUCAAAACCUUCCUGCAAAGAAAACUCUACAAGCUCUCAAAGUACAUUUGUAGGAAAAUAUAGAUAGGAAAGUCAAACUUCUAAGACUCCAGAUACAUCCAAAUGAAGCACUGAAUGGGGCAGUCUGCUUUUCUUA